GAUGAACGCUGGCGGCGUGCCUAAUACAUGCAAGUCGAGCGAACAGACGAGGAGCUUGCUCCUCUGACGUUAGCGGCGGACGGGUGAGUAACACGUGGAUAACCUACCUAUAAGACUGGGAUAAAUUCGGGAAACCGGAGCUAAUACCGGAUAAUAUAUUGAACCGCAUGGUUCAAUAGUGAAAGACGGUUUUGCUGUCACUUAUAGAUGGAUCCGCGCCGCAUUAGCUAGUUGGUAAGGUAACGGCUUACCAAGGCAACGAUGCGUAGCCGACCUGAGAGGGUGAUCAGCCACACUGGAACUGAGACACGGUCCAGACUCCUACGGGAGGCAGCAGUAGGGAAUCUUGCGCAAUGGGCGAAAGCCUGACGCAGCAACGCCGCGUGAGUGAUGAAGGUCUUCGGAUCGUAAAACUCUGUUAUUAGGGAAGAACAAAUGUGUAAGUAACUAUGCACGUCUUGACGGUACCUAAUCAGAAAGCCACGGCUAACUACGUG
RNAcentral lists this ribosomal RNA (497 nucleotides) under uncultured bacterium. Its description in RNAcentral is "partial 16S ribosomal RNA". It matches the Rfam family "Bacterial small subunit ribosomal RNA", at positions 28 to 507 of the family's 1533-position model. The record is from RNAcentral.